CCUACGGGUCGCACCAGUGGGGAAUUUUCCGCAAUGGGCGAAAGCCUGACGGAGCAAUGCCGCGUGUGUGAAGAAGGCCUUCGGGUUGUAAAGCACUUUCAGUAGGGAGGAAGGUAGUGUAGUUAACACCUGCAUUAUUUGACGUUACCUACAGAAGAAGCACCGGCUAACUCCGUGCCAGCAGCCGCGGUAAUACGGAGGGUGCGAGCGUUAAUCGGAAUUACUGGGCGUAAAGCGCAUGCAGGCGGCCUGUUAAGUCAGAUGUGAAAGCCCGGGGCUUAACCUCGGAAUUGCAUUUGAAACUGGCAGGCUAGAGUCUUGUAGAGGGGGGUAGAAUUUCAGGUGUAGCGGUGAAAUGCGUAGAGAUCUGAAGGAAUACCAGUGGCGAAGGCGGCCCCCUGGACAAAGACUGACGCUCAGAUGCGAAAGCGUGGGGAGCAAACAGGAUUAGAUACCCCCGUAGUC
This 465-nucleotide ribosomal RNA is filed under the name uncultured bacterium. RNAcentral's name for it is "bacterial SSU rRNA". It matches the Rfam family "Bacterial small subunit ribosomal RNA", at positions 338 to 795 of the family's 1533-position model. The record is from RNAcentral.